CAACCCUUAAGCCCCCGUUGCUUAGCGUUGGGAGCCUACGGCACACCCGCCGUAGCUCCCCAAAGUCAGUGGCGGAGUCGGUCCCACGCUCCAGACGUAGUAGAAUCUCCUCUCGUCUGCGGCUGGGCCGGUCCCCUGCCGUAAAACACCCCACUAUCUCAAGG
This 164-nucleotide unclassified non-coding RNA is filed under the name uncultured Xylariales. RNAcentral describes it as "sequence contains ITS2". The record is from RNAcentral. Lineage: Eukaryota; Fungi; Ascomycota; Sordariomycetes; Xylariales.